This 495-nucleotide ribosomal RNA is filed under the name uncultured bacterium. Its description in RNAcentral is "partial 16S ribosomal RNA". It matches the Rfam family "Bacterial small subunit ribosomal RNA", at positions 28 to 507 of the family's 1533-position model. The record is from RNAcentral.
GAUGAACGCUGGCGGCGUGCCUAAUACAUGCAAGUAGAACGCUGAAGGAGGAGCUUGCUCUUCUGGAUGAGUUGCGAACGGGUAAGUAACGCGUAGGUAACCUGCCUGUUAGCGGGGGAUAACUCUUGGAAACGAUAGCUAAUACCGCAUGACAACAGUUAUUGCAUGAUAACUGUUUAAAAGGGGCAACUGCUCCACUACCAGAUGGACCUGCGUUGUAUUAGCUAGUCGGUGAGGUAACGGCUCACCAAGGCGACGAUACAGAGCCGACCUGAGAGGGGGAUCGGCCAACCGGGGACUUGAGCAAGGCCCAGACUCCUUCGGGAGGAAACAAUAGGGGAAUUUCCGGAAUGGGCGGAAGUCUGAACGGGAAACGCCGGGGGAGGGAAGAAGGGUUUCGGAUCGGAAAGCUCGGUUGUAAGAGAAGAACGAGUGUGAGAGUGAAAAGUUCACACUGUGACGGUAUCUAAUCAGAAAGGGACGGCUAACUACGUG